GGCAACGUGGCCGAGCGGUUAAGGCGUAAGACUCGAAUUCACUGAGUUUCUCAGUGAUGGUAAUCUUAUCUCUUCGGAGUCGCAUGUUCGAAUCAUGCCGUUGUCG
Non-coding RNA from Aspergillus campestris IBT 28561, 106 nucleotides. NCBI's taxonomy places the organism in Eukaryota, Fungi, Ascomycota, Eurotiomycetes, Eurotiales, Aspergillaceae. The record is from the annotation of a RefSeq genome assembly.